RNAcentral lists this ribosomal RNA (252 nucleotides) under uncultured bacterium. Its description in RNAcentral is "partial 16S ribosomal RNA". It matches the Rfam family "Bacterial small subunit ribosomal RNA", at positions 524 to 776 of the family's 1533-position model. The record is from RNAcentral.
UACGGAGGAUGCGAGCGUUAUCCGGAUUUAUUGGGUUUAAAGGGUGCGUAGGCGGGUUAUCAAGUCAGCGGUAAAAUCGUGGAGCUCAACUCCAUCCAGCCGUUGAAACUGAUGAUCUUGAGUGGGCGAGAAGUAUGCGGAAUGCGUCGUGUAGCGGUGAAAUGCAUAGAUAUCACGCAGAACUCCGAUUGCGAAGGCAGCAUACCGGCGCCCGACUGACGCUGAAGCACGAAAGCGUGAGUAUCGAACAGG